Molecule: unclassified non-coding RNA, 313 nt
Filed under: plant metagenome
Description: partial contains 5.8S ribosomal RNA, internal transcribed spacer 2, and large subunit ribosomal RNA
Rfam family: 5.8S ribosomal RNA (bases 1-104)
Source: RNAcentral
AAAUGCGAUAAUUAAUGUGAAUUGCAGAAUUCAGUGAAUCAUCGAGUCUUUGAACACACAUUGCGCCCCCUGGUAUUCCGGGGGGCAUGCCUGUCCGAGCGUCAUUGCUGCCCUCAAGCACGGCUUGUGUGUUGGGCUUCCGUCCCUGGCAACGGGGACGGGCCCAAAAGGCAGUGGCGGCACCAUGUCUGGUCCUCGAGCGUAUGGGGCUUUGUCACCCGCUCCCGUAGGUCCAGCUGGCAGCUAGCCUCGCAACCAAUCUUUUUAACCAGGUUGACCUCGGAUCAGGUAGGGAUACCCGCUGAACUUAAGC